This 301-nucleotide ribosomal RNA is filed under the name uncultured bacterium. Its description in RNAcentral is "partial 16S ribosomal RNA". It matches the Rfam family "Bacterial small subunit ribosomal RNA", at positions 509 to 807 of the family's 1533-position model. The record is from RNAcentral.
CAGUCGCCGCGGUAAUUCGAAGGGGGCUAGCGUUGUUCGGAUUUACUGGGCGUAAAGAGUGUGUAGGCGGUGCUCCAAGUUCGGUGUGAAAUCUCCUGGCUUAACUGGGAGGGUGCGUCGAAAACUGGAGUGCUCGAGCGUGGGAGAGGAAAGCGGAAUUCCUGGUGUAGCGGUGAAAUGCGUAGAUAUCAGGAGGAACACCUGUGGUGUAGACAGCUUUCUGGACCAUAGCUGACGCUGAGACACGAAAGCGUGGAUAGCAAACAGGAUUAGAUACCCGGGUAGUCCCUGUCUCUUAUAC